This 253-nucleotide ribosomal RNA is filed under the name uncultured bacterium. RNAcentral describes it as "partial 16S ribosomal RNA". It matches the Rfam family "Bacterial small subunit ribosomal RNA", at positions 524 to 776 of the family's 1533-position model. The record is from RNAcentral.
UACGGGGGGGGCAAGCGUUGUUCGGAUUCACUGGGCGUAAAGGGUGCGUAGGUGGUGAGGUAAGUCGGAUGUGAAAUCUCCGGGCUCAACCCGGAAAUGGCAUUGGAAACUACCUUGCUGGAGGAUUUGAGGGGGGAUUGGAAUUCCCAGUGUAGCGGUGAAAUGCGUAGAUAUUGGGAAGAACACCGGUGGCGCAAGCGACUCGCUGGGCCGCAACUGACGCUGAGGAACGAAAGCUAGGGGAGCGAAUGGG